AGAAACUGUCAUCGUGUCCAGUGUAGAAGACAUCCUGUGGGACUGACGCUUAUUCUGAAUGGCAAACCUCAGUUCCUCUUUCACCAGUGGGGUUAAAUUUGUGAAAUCAUCGAACCCCAGUGACCCUGCAGGGGACAAAGUGGGAACAAUUGCGGAGGCGCUGACUUCUAAUGCAGAUACCUGGCCUGAGUGUUGGACCAUCAUUUUGCUGAAAGACCAUGCACAUGGACCUGGGCUCCAGGCUGCUUUGAGUACUUCUGGAGUUAGUGACAUUGAAGGUGCUGAACAUUUCACAGACCUGCACCGUAAAGGCCCAGCUUAUUCCCAGUGUGUGCUUGCCUUUACGGUGGUGGUGGUCUGACAUUAACUUCCACGCUCCCAAAUCCCUUGGCAGCCAUGGAGGUUGCUUGUGGUCUCCUGCCUGUCCUGCGGUGGGAUACGGCAGCAGCCCCUGCUGCUCCAUCCAGACCGACGGAAGACAACGUCAUUUUGGCCUCAUCCAGGGUUCAAAAUAUUUGCGAGAUGACCUCAUAUUUUUUUUGUUGUUGUUUCAUUUUGAUCUUGUGUUCCUGGCUGAGAGGAUGUGUGUCACUUGCAUUUUGAAAUGAACUCUGGUAAAUACAGCCGCUUCUUGAAAAGAUCACUGCUCUCAUUUGAGCACAACUUUGCCAUAAAUAUGCAAGUGGGAAGAAAACUAUGAAGACUUCUUGUGCGAACUACCCACGGGCUCAGUCUUCUCCCCGUUACAGCACAGUGCUGCUUCUGGAUCCUUCCUCGCAGAGCACACGACCUACCUCACAGCCAUACAUGACACCGAGUGCCAAAGAAGGAUAAUUGUAUUAUAAGACUUUUUUAAUUCCCCAACUUACUUCAGCUGUUAUCAGCAGCUGGUUACUUCAGCUAGCUGAUAUGCCUCGGUGUCUUGUAAACAUUUGCUCUAGUAUUGUGCAUUACUCAUAGUUGGAAAAUCACUUUGACUCCUGUAACAUAAUUAUGUUAAUGUCAAAUGAGUCACAGGGAAACAGAAAACUUGUAUCAGAGCUGCACCUUA
Harpia harpyja (harpy eagle) is the source of this 1051-nucleotide long non-coding RNA. RefSeq lists it as uncharacterized. The record is from RefSeq and is a predicted model, not a curated record. The transcript has 4 exons. Lineage: Eukaryota; Metazoa; Chordata; Aves; Accipitriformes; Accipitridae.